RNA transcript from Panicum virgatum (switchgrass), 2354 nucleotides. It is a transcript of the gene named DNA-(apurinic or apyrimidinic site) endonuclease-like, with no coding region annotated. The transcript is spliced from 10 exons. Lineage: Eukaryota; Viridiplantae; Streptophyta; Magnoliopsida; Poales; Poaceae. The record is from RefSeq and is a predicted model, not a curated record.
AAAAAAAAUAAUAAUCCGAGUAGCGUUAACCGCGGAGGAGAGGAGCCGCCAGCCCCGCCGCCGCCCGCUGGAGAUGAAGCGCUUCUUCCAGCCCGUGCCCAAGGACGGCUCCCCGGCUAAGAAGAGGCCCACAGGCGCUACCGACUCAGGCAAUGCCCCCGCCGCGGCCGGCGCCGGCGGGGAGGAGGGGAGCCCCGGCGAGGAGCCGCGCAAGUUCCUGACGUGGAACGCCAACAGCCUGCUCCUUCGGAUGAAGAGCGACUGGCCCGCUUUCUCUCAGUUCGUCGCUUGCCUCGAUCCCGACGUCAUCUGCAUCCAGGAGGUACGGAUGCCGGCGGCUGGUUUAAAAGGGGCACCUAAAAAUCCUAGCGAACUAAAAGAUGACACAAGCUCGUCACGGGACGAAAAGCAGAUAGUUUUGCGUGCUUUGUCGAGUUCCCCUUUCAAAGACUACCGUGUCUGGUGGUCUCUUUCAGAUUCAAAAUAUGCAGGAACAGCUAUGUUUAUAAAGAAAAAGUUUGAACCUAAGAAGGUGUCUUUUAACCUCGAUAGAACGUCUUCCAAGCAUGAAAUGGAUGGGCGUGUUAUAAUUGUGGAAUUUGAAUCAUUUUUCGUACUAAACACUUAUGCUCCAAACAAUGGAUGGAAGGAGGAAGAAAAAUCAUUUCAAAGGAGACGUAAGUGGGACAAGAGAAUGCUAGAAUUUGUUCAACAUGUAGACAAACCCUUAAUCUGGUGUGGCGACUUGAACGUCAGCCAUGAAGAAAUCGAUGUCAGCCAUCCUGAUUUUUUUAUCAGUGCUAAGCUGAAUGGAUAUACCCCGCCAAAUAAAGAGGACUGUGGACAGCCAGGAUUCACCCUAGCAGAGAGGCAUCGAUUUUGCAACAUAUUGUCCCAAGGAAAGCUGAUAGAUGCUUAUAGACACCUGCAUAAAGAAAAAGAUAUGGACAGUGGCUUCUCCUGGUCCGGUCAUCCAAUUGGCAAGCGACGCCAAGGCGUCCAGGUGACUUCCCAAUGGAGGCGUCCUGCCCGCCACGCCGUUCCUGCGUAUGGCGUCGCCUUGCGCGGAAAGGCGUCGCCAAGGCGUCGGGUGGACGCCAAGGCGACCUCCCAAGUCCAAGGCGGGUCCGCGCGGGGGAAAAAGCAAGCGCACAGCAGGCCCCUUAGCGCGCGCAGGGGAAAAAGCAGGCAUCUUGCGCGCGGGAAGGGUGAGGGAUCUGCGCGCGCGGGAAGGGAGAGGUAGGGCGCGGGAGAAGGGAGCUGCGCGCGCGGGAAAUCGCGCCUAUACUCCCGCGCAGGCGUGCCCCAUCGCUGCAGGCCUGCAGCGCGCAAGAGGAAAGAGAGGGGAGGGGGAAGAGAAGAGGGCGUGCUGCAGGCCAGCCGAUUUGAGUUUGCUGCUGCUGCUCCAUGCGACCACGCCUCCACGACCUCCACCUGCGCUCCGCCCGUCCGCCGAUUCGAGUCUGUCGGUCCACCAAUUGGAGCUUGCGCUCUGCUCGUCCGCCGAUUGGAGACCUGCAGAUCGGCGCCUCUGACCUAUGAAGCCCUGCCCUCCAUCGAUUUCGUGGCUGCUUGCUUGCUUCCUCUGCUCCGCCUCCUUGCCUGAGUGCCUUCAUCCCUUCCUUUCCUUCACGUCAGCUCAGAGCCUCGGAGGUAUGUCUUGUCCAGUUCUGCCCCCUUCUUUGCUCUUCCUUCACUGCUCUGUUCUCCUUCCUAUAUAGCCAUAGCACUGCUCUGUUCUGCUUUGUGCUUUCUUUAUAGCCAAAACUUGCAGCAACAAGGUAUAUGUUUCUAUCACUCCAUCUAGGUUAAGGUAUGUGUAUGGCGUCGCCUCGCCGCACGCCAUACUCGCCUAGGCGUCUGGAAGGGGGUGAGUCGCCUCGCCUCGCCUUACCGCCGUACCGAGGAAAGAGAAUGAGGAUUGACUAUUUCAUUGUUUCAGAACAAUUGAAGGACAGAAUAAUUUCAUGUGAAAUGCAUGGCCGUGGAAUUGAAUUAGAAGGAUUCUAUGGAAGUGACCACUGCCCUGUUUCCCUUGAGCUCUCCAAAGCAGCAACGGAAGCGCCAGAACCCCCCAGGCCAUCCAGCUAAAAUUUGUGUGCUGCUAUCUUGACCUGUCACUCGUCAUGGUAGUUAUUAGGGUUGUUGAGUAGACUAGUAUUGGGCCCAGAGAUGACCAUUGUUUAGACAUUUUCCUUCAGUAAAUCUGAAUUUGCAAUUCAUGCUCGUGCUGGGAUAUGUUUGUAUUUAUGAUCUAGCAGACUACUAGUACUAAUGCUCGAACACUAGAGCUUAGGUACCAUUGGCCCAUUGCCAUUUAAGCAAUGCAGCUUCGCCAUCUCUGCUAUGAUCUA